RNAcentral lists this ribosomal RNA (497 nucleotides) under uncultured bacterium. RNAcentral's name for it is "partial 16S ribosomal RNA". It matches the Rfam family "Bacterial small subunit ribosomal RNA", at positions 28 to 507 of the family's 1533-position model. The record is from RNAcentral.
GAUGAACGCUGGCGGCGUGCCUAAUACAUGCAAGUCGAGCGAACGGACGAGAAGCUUGCUUCUCUGAUGUUAGCGGCGGACGGGUGAGUAACACGUGGAUAACCUACCUAUAAGACUGGGAUAACUUCGGGAAACCGGAGCUAAUACCGGAUAAUAUUUUGAACCGCAUGGUUCAAAAGUGAAAGACGGUCUUGCUGUCACUUAUAGAUGGAUCCGCGCUGCAUUAGCUAGUUGGUAAGGUAACGGCUUACCAAGGCAACGAUGCAUAGCCGACCUGAGAGGGUGAUCGGCCACACUGGAACUGAGACACGGUCCAGACUCCUACGGGAGGCAGCAGUAGGGAAUCUUCCGCAAUGGGCGAAAGCCUGACGGAGCAACGCCGCGUGAGUGAUGAAGGUCUUCGGAUCGUAAAACUCUGUCAUUAGGGAAGAACAUAUGCGUAAGUAACUGUGCACAUCUUGACGGUACCUAAUCAGAAAGCCACGGCUAACUACGUG